GAUGAACGCUAGCGGCAGGCUUAACACAUGCAAGUCGAGGGGCAGCAUAAUGGUAGCAAUACUAUUGAUGGCGACCGGCGGACGGGUGCGUAACGCGUAUGCAACCUACCCUUUACAGGGGGAUAACACUGAGAAAUCGGUACUAAUACCCCAUAAUAUUCUGGGAGGCAUCUUUCGGAGUUGAAAGCUUUGGUGGUAAAGGAUGGGCAUGCGUUGUAUUAGCUAGUUGGUAAGGUAACGGCUUACCAAGGCGACGAUACAUAGGGGGACUGAGAGGUUAACCCCCCACAUUGGUACUGAGACACGGACCAAACUCCUACGGGAGGCAGCAGUGAGGAAUAUUGGUCAAUGGACGGAAGUCUGAACCAGCCAUGCCGCGUGCAGGAAGACGGCUCUAUGAGUUGUAAACUGCUUUUGUACGAGGGUAAACGCAGAUACGCGUAUCUGCCUGAAAGUAUCGUACGAAUAAGGAUCGGCUAACUCCGUGCCAGCAGCCGCGGUAAUACGGAGGAUCCAAGCGUUAUCCGGAUUUAUUGGGUUUAAAGGGUGCGUAGGCGGUUUAGUAAGUCAGCGGUGAAAUUUUGGUGCUUAACACCAAACGUGCCGUUGAUACUGCUGGGCUAGAGAGUAGUUGCGGUAGGCGGAAUGUAUGGUGUAGCGGUGAAAUGCUUAGAGAUCAUACAGAACACCGAUUGCGAAGGCAGCUUACCAAACUAUAUCUGACGUUGAGGCACGAAAGCGUGGGGAGCAAACAGGAUUAGAUACCCUGGUAGUCCACGCAGUAAACGAUGAUAGCUCGUUGUCGGCGAUACACAGUCGGUGACUAAGAGAAAUCGAUAAGCUAUCCACCUGGGGAGUACGUUCGCAAGAAUGAAACUCAAAGGAAUUGACGGGGGCCCGCACAAGCGGAGGAACAUGUGGUUUAAUUCGAUGAUACGCGAGGAACCUUACCCGGGCUUGAAAGUUACUGACGAUUCUGGAAACAGGAUUUCCCUUCGGGGCAGGAAACUAGGUGCUGCAUGGUUGUCGUCAGCUCGUGCCGUGAGGUGUCGGGUUAAGUCCCAUAACGAGCGCAACCCCUACUGAUAGUUGCCAUCAGA
RNAcentral lists this ribosomal RNA (1100 nucleotides) under uncultured bacterium. RNAcentral describes it as "bacterial SSU rRNA". It matches the Rfam family "Bacterial small subunit ribosomal RNA", at positions 28 to 1125 of the family's 1533-position model. The record is from RNAcentral.